Molecule: ribosomal RNA, 103 nt
Filed under: uncultured bacterium
Lineage: Bacteria
Description: partial 16S ribosomal RNA
Rfam family: Bacterial small subunit ribosomal RNA
Source: RNAcentral
UACACACCGCCCGUCACACCAUGGGAGUUGGUUUACCCGAAGCCGGUCAUGCUAACCCUGCAAAGGGAGGCAGCCGACCACGGUAAGGUCAGCGACUGGGGUG